GUUAUAUGGUCAAGUGAAGAAGCGCAUACGGUGGAUGCCUUGGCAGUCAGAGGCGAUGAAAGACGUGAUAGCCUGCGAUAAGCUUCGGUGAGGUGGCAAAUGACCUGUGACCCGGAGAUCUCUGAAUGGGGGAACCCACCUAGCAUAAGCUAGGUAUCUUAACCUGAAUCCAUAGGGUUAAGAGGCGAACCAGGGGAACUGAAACAUCUAAGUACCCUGAGGAAAAGAAAUCAACCGAGAUUCCCUUAGUAGUGGCGAGCGAACGGGGACCAGCCCUUAAGUUGAUUUGAGAGUAGCGGAACGCUCUGGAAAGUGCGGCCAUAGUGGGUGAUAGCCCUGUACGCGAAACGCUCUUAUCAAUGAAAUCGAGUAGGACGGGGCACGAGAAACCCUGUCUGAAUAUGGGGGGACCAUCCUCCAAGGCUAAAUACUCCUGACUGACCGAUAGUGAACCAGUACCGUGAGGGAAAGGCGAAAAGAACCCCGGAGAGGGGAGUGAAAUAGAACCUGAAACCGUAUGCGUACAAGCAGUGGGAGCCUACUUUGUUAGGUGACUGCGUACCUUUUGUAUAAUGGGUCAGCGACUUAUUUUCAGUGGCGAGCUUAACCGAAUAGGGGAGGCGUAGCGAAAGCGAGUCUUAAUAGGGCGUCUAGUCGCUGGGAAUAGACCCGAAACCGGGCGAUCUAUCCAUGAGCAGGUUGAAGGUUAGGUAACACUGACUGGAGGACCGAACCCACUUCCGUUGAAAAGGCAGGGGAUGACUUGUGGAUCGGAGUGAAAGGCUAAUCAAGCUCGGAGAUAGCUGGUUCUCCUCGAAAGCUAUUUAGGUAGCGCCUCAUGUAUCACUCUGGGGGGUAGAGCACUGUUUCGGCUAGGGGGUCAUCCCGACUUACCAAACCGAUGCAAACUCCGAAUACCCAGAAGUGCCGAGCAUGGGAGACACACGGCGGGUGCUAACGUCCGUCGUGAAAAGGGAAACAACCCAGACCGUCAGCUAAGGUCCCAAAGUCCUGGUUAAGUGGUAAACGAUGUGGGAAGGCUUAGACAGCUAGGAGGUUGGCUUAGAAGCAGCCACCCUUUAAAGAAAGCGUAAUAGCUCACUAGUCGAGUCGGCCUGCGCGGAAGAUGUAACGGGGCUCAAACCAGGCACCGAAGCUACGGGUAUCACCUCUGGUGAUGCGGUAGAGGAGCGUUCUGUAAGCCUGUGAAGGUGAGUUGAGAAGCUUGCUGGAGGUAUCAGAAGUGCGAAUGCUGACAUGAGUAACGACAAUGCGAGUGAAAAACUCGCACGCCGAAAGACCAAGGGUUCCUGCGCAACGUUAAUCGACGCAGGGUGAGUCGGUCCCUAAGGCGAGGCUGAAAGGCGUAGUCGAUGGGAAACGGGUUAAUAUUCCCGUACUUCUAGUUACUGCGAUGGGGGGACGGAGAAGGCUAGGCCAGCUUGGCGUUGGUUGUCCAAGUUUAAGGUGGUAGGCUGACUGUUUAGGUAAAUCCGGACGGUCUAGGCCGAGAGCUGAUGACGAUCCUUCUUUUAGAAGGAGAAGUGGUUGAUGCCAUGCUUCCAGGAAAAGCCUCUAAGCUUCAGGUAACUAGGAACCGUACCCCAAACCGACACAGGUGGUCGGGUAGAGAAUACCAAGGCGCUUGAGAGAACUCGGGUGAAGGAACUAGGCAAAAUGGCACCGUAACUUCGGGAGAAGGUGCGCCGGUGAGGGUGAAGGGUUUACCCCGUAAGCUCAUGCCGGUCGAAGAUACCAGGCCGCUGCGACUGUUUAUUAAAAACACAGCACUC
Molecule: ribosomal RNA, 1793 nt
Filed under: Pseudomonas sp. RIT412
Lineage: Bacteria; Pseudomonadati; Pseudomonadota; Gammaproteobacteria; Pseudomonadales; Pseudomonadaceae
Description: bacterial LSU rRNA
Rfam family: Bacterial large subunit ribosomal RNA
Source: RNAcentral